AUGUAGCUUAGUGUUAGAGCAUACUCCUAGCAUGUGUGAGGCCCUGGGUUUAAUUCCUAGCAU
This 63-nucleotide transfer RNA is filed under the name Fukomys damarensis (Damara mole-rat). It matches the Rfam family "tRNA", at positions 5 to 66 of the family's 71-position model. From Rfam's summary of the family: Transfer RNA (tRNA) molecules are approximately 80 nucleotides in length. Their secondary structure includes four short double-helical elements and three loops (D, anti-codon, and T loops). Further hydrogen bonds mediate the characteristic L-shaped molecular structure. tRNAs have two regions of fundamental functional importance: the anti-codon, which is responsible for specific mRNA codon recognition, and the 3' end, to which the tRNAs corresponding amino acid is attached (by aminoacyl-tRNA synthetases). tRNAs cope with the degeneracy of the genetic code in two manners: having more than one tRNA (with a specific anti-codon) for a particular amino acid; and 'wobble' base-pairing, i.e. permitting non-standard base-pairing at the 3rd anti-codon position. The record is from Rfam by way of RNAcentral. Lineage: Eukaryota; Metazoa; Chordata; Mammalia; Rodentia; Bathyergidae.